RNAcentral lists this ribosomal RNA (497 nucleotides) under uncultured bacterium. Its description in RNAcentral is "partial 16S ribosomal RNA". It matches the Rfam family "Bacterial small subunit ribosomal RNA", at positions 28 to 507 of the family's 1533-position model. The record is from RNAcentral.
GAUGAACGCUGGCGGCGUGCCUAAUACAUGCAAGUCGAGCGAACAGACGAGGAGCUUGCUCCUCUGACGUUAGCGGCGGACGGGUGAGUAACACGUGGAUAACCUACCUAUAAGACUGGGAUAACUUCGGGAAACCGGAGCUAAUACCGGAUAAUAUAUUGAACCGCAUGGUUCAAUAGUGAAAGACGGUUUUGCUGUCACUUAUAGAUGGAUCCGCGCCGCAUUAGCUAGUUGGUAAGGUAACGGCUUACCAAGGCAACGAUGCGUAGCCGACCUGAGAGGGUGAUCGGCCACACUGGAACUGAGACACGGUCCAGACUCCUACGGGAGGCAGCAGUAGGGAAUCUUCCGCAAUGGGCGAAAGCUUGACGGAGCAACGCCGCGUGAGUGAUGAAGGUCUUCGGAUCGUACAACUCUGUUAUUAGGGAAGAACAAAUGUGUAAGUAACUAUGCACGUCUUGACGGUACCUAAUCAGAAAGCCACGGCUAACUACGUG